GACGAACGCUGGCGGCGUGCUUAACACAUGCAAGUCGAACGGAAAGGCCCUGCUUUUGUGGGGUGCUCGAGUGGCGAACGGGUGAGUAACACGUGAGUAACCUGCCCUUGACUUUGGGAUAACUUCAGGAAACUGGGGCUAAUACCGGAUAGGAGCUCCUGCUGCAUGGUGGGGGUUGGAAAGUUUCGGCGGUGGGGGCUGGACUCGCGGGUUAUCAGCUUGUUGGUGGGGUAGUGGCUUACCAAGGCUUUGACGGGUAGCCGGCCUGAGAGGGUGACCGGCCACCUUGGGACUGCGAUACGGCCCAGACUCCUACGGGAGGCAGCAGUGGGGAAUAUUGCACAAUGGGCGGAAGCCUGAUGCAGCAACGCCGCGUGCGGGAUGACGGCCUUCGGGUUGUAAACCGAUUUCGCCUGUGACGAAGCGUGAGUGACGGUAAUGGGUAAAGAAGCACCGGCUAACUACGUG
RNAcentral lists this ribosomal RNA (468 nucleotides) under uncultured bacterium. RNAcentral's name for it is "partial 16S ribosomal RNA". It matches the Rfam family "Bacterial small subunit ribosomal RNA", at positions 28 to 507 of the family's 1533-position model. The record is from RNAcentral.